GUUGUAUGGUUAAGUGACUAAGCGUACAUGGUGGAUGCCUUGGCAGUCAGAGGCGAUGAAGGACGUACUAACCUGCGAUAAGCCGUGAGCAGUCGGUAAGAGACAUUACGACUCACGGAUUUCCGAAUGGGGAAACCCACUUAGCAUAAGCUAGGUAUCGCUACGUGAAUACAUAGCGUAGCGAGGCGAACCGGGAGAACUGAAACAUCUAAGUACCCCGAGGAAAAGAAAUCAACCGAGAUUCCCUCAGUAGCGGCGAGCGAACGGGGAUUAGCCCUUAAGCAUCUUGGAAGUUAGUGGAACGGUCCUGGAAAGGCCGGCGAUACAGGGUGAUAGCCCCGUACACGAAAACAACCUUGAUGUGAAAUCGAGUAGGGCGGGACACGUGACAUCCUGUCUGAAUAUGGGGGGACCAUCCUCCAAGGCUAAAUACUCCUGACUGACCGAUAGUGAACCAGUACCGUGAGGGAAAGGCGAAAAGAACCCCUGUGAGGGGAGUGAAAUAGAACCUGAAACCGUGUACGUACAAGCAGUGGGAGCCCUUCGGGGUGACUGCGUACCUUUUGUAUAAUGGGUCAGCGACUUACAUUUUGUAGCGAGGUUAACCGUAUAGGGGAGCCGUAGGGAAACCGAGUCUUAACUGGGCGUCUAGUUGCAAGGUGUAGACCCGAAACCGGGUGAUCUAGCCAUGGGCAGGUUGAAGGUUGAGUAACAUCAACUGGAGGACCGAACCCACUAACGUUGCAAAGUUAGGGGAUGACCUGUGGCUGGGGGUGAAAGGCCAAUCAAACUCGGAGAUAGCUGGUUCUCCCCGAAAGCUAUUUAGGUAGCGCCUCGGACGAAUACUACUGGGGGUAGAGCACUGUUUGGGCUAGGGGGUCAUCCCGACUUACCAACCCCAUGCAAACUCCGAAUACCAGUAAGUAAUAUCCGGGAGACACACGGCGGGUGCUAACGUCCGUCGUGAAGAGGGAAACAACCCAGACCGCCGGCUAAGGUCCCAAAGUUCUGGUUAAGUGGGAAACGAUGUGGGAAGGCUCAGACAGCUAGGAUGUUGGCUUAGAAGCAGCCAUCAUUUAAAGAAAGCGUAAUAGCUCACUAGUCGAGUCGGCCUGCGCGGAAGAUGUAACGGGGCUCAAACCAGGCACCGAAGCCGCGGAUUCACACUAAGUGUGAGUGGUAGGGGAGCGUUCUGUAAGUCUGCGAAGGUGUGUCGAGAGGCAUGCUGGAGAUAUCAGAAGUGCGAAUGCUGACGUAAGUAACGAUAAAGGGGGUGAAAAGCCUCCUCGCCGGAAGACCAAGGGUUCCUGUCCAACGUUAAUCGGGGCAGGGUGAGUCGACCCCUAAGGCGAGGCCGAAAGGCGUAGUCGAUGGGAAGCAGGUUAAUAUUCCUGCACGACUUGUAAUUGCGAUGGGGGGACGGAGAAGGCUAGGUGGGCCAGGCGACGGUUGUCCUGGUGAAAGUGCGUAGGUGGUGUUUCUAGGCAAAUCCGGAGACACAACACUGAGACACGAGACGAACGUGCUACGGUGUGGAAGCCAUUGAUGCCCUGCUUCCAGGAAAAGCCUCUAAGCUUCAGAUUACAAGUCAUCGUACCCCAAACCGACACAGGUGGUCGGGUAGAGAAUACCAAGGCGCUUGAGAGAACUCGGGUGAAGGAACUAGGCAAAAUAGAACCGUAACUUCGGGAGAAGGUUCGCUCUUGACAGUGAAGUCCCUUGCGGAUGGAGCAGUUGGGAGUCGCAGUGACCAGAUGGCUGGGACUGUUUAUCAAAAACACAGCACUCUGCAAACACGAAAGUGGACGUAUAGGGUGUGACACCUGCCCGGUGCCGGAAGGUUAAUUGAUGGGGUUAGCGCAAGCGAAGCUCUUGAUCGAAGCCCCGGUAAACGGCGGCCGUAACUAUAACGGUCCUAAGGUAGCGAAAUUCCUUGUCGGGUAAGUUCCGACCUGCACGAAUGGUGUAACCAUGGCCAUGCUGUCUCCACCCGAGACUCAGUGAAAUCGAAUUCGCCGUGAAGAUGCGGUGUACCCGCGGCUAGACGGAAAGACCCCGUGAACCUUUACUACAGCUUGGCACUGAACAUUGAACCUACAUGUGUAGGAUAGGUGGGAGGCUUUGAAGGCGUGACGCCAGUUGCGCUGGAGCCGUCCUUGAAAUACCACCCUUGUAUGUUUGAUGUUCUAACGCAGGCCCCUGAAUCGGGGUCGCGGACAGUGCCUGGUGGGUAGUUUGACUGGGGCGGUCUCCUCCCAAAGAGUAACGGAGGAGCACGAAGGUUGGCUAAUCCUGGUCGGACAUCAGGAGGUUAGUGCAAUGGCAUAAGCCAGCUUAACUGCGAGACGGACAGGUCGAGCAGGUACGAAAGUAGGUCAUAGUGAUCCGGUGGUUCUGAAUGGAAGGGCCAUCGCUCAACGGAUAAAAGGUACUCCGGGGAUAACAGGCUGAUACCGCCCAAGAGUUCAUAUCGACGGCGGUGUUUGGCACCUCGAUGUCGGCUCAUCACAUCCUGGGGCUGAAGUCGGUCCCAAGGGUAUGGCUGUUCGCCAUUUAAAGUGGUACGCGAGCUGGGUUCAGAACGUCGUGAGACAGUUCGGUCCCUAUCUGCCGUGGGCGUUGGAUGAUUGAAGGGAGUUGCUCCUAGUACGAGAGGACCGGAGUGAACGAACCUCUGGUGUUCGGGUUGUCACGCCAGUGGCACUGCCCGGUAGCUAAGUUCGGAAUCGAUAACCGCUGAAAGCAUCUAAGCGGGAAGCGAGCCCUGAGAUGAGUCAUCCCUGACCCCUUGAGGGUCCUAAAGGGCCGUUGGAGACCACAACGUUGAUAGGUGGGGUGUGUAAGCGCGGCGACGUGUUGAGCUAACCCAUACUAAUUACCCGUGAGGCUUAACCAUACAACACCCAAGAAGUGUUCUG
Molecule: ribosomal RNA, 2918 nt
Filed under: Aeromonas hydrophila
Lineage: Bacteria; Pseudomonadati; Pseudomonadota; Gammaproteobacteria; Aeromonadales; Aeromonadaceae
Description: 23S ribosomal RNA
Rfam family: Bacterial large subunit ribosomal RNA
Source: RNAcentral